This 464-nucleotide ribosomal RNA is filed under the name uncultured bacterium. Its description in RNAcentral is "partial 16S ribosomal RNA". It matches the Rfam family "Bacterial small subunit ribosomal RNA", at positions 28 to 507 of the family's 1533-position model. The record is from RNAcentral.
GACGAACGCUGGCGGCGUGCUUAACACAUGCAAGUCGAACGGAAAGGCCCAGCUUGCUGGGUGCUCGAGUGGCGAACGGGUGAGUAACACGUGGGUGAUCUGCCUCUAACUUCGGGAUAAGCUUGGGAAACUGGGUCUAAUACCGGAUAGGACAAUCGUUUAGUGUCGGUUGUGGAAAGUUUUUUCGGUUAGGGAUGAGCCCGCGGCCUAUCAGCUUGUUGGUGGGGUAAUGGCCUACCAAGGCGUCGACGGGUAGCCGGCCUGAGAGGGUGGACGGCCACAUUGGGACUGAGAUACGGCCCAGACUCCUACGGGAGGCAGAAGUGGGGAAUAUUGCACAAUGGGCGCAAGCCUGAUGCAGCGACGCCGCGUGGGGGAUGAAUGCCUUCGGGUUGUAAACCUCUUUCGACAGGGACGAAGCUUUGGUGACGGUACCUGUAGAAGAAGCACCGGCUAACUACGUG